This 492-nucleotide ribosomal RNA is filed under the name uncultured bacterium. RNAcentral's name for it is "partial 16S ribosomal RNA". It matches the Rfam family "Bacterial small subunit ribosomal RNA", at positions 29 to 507 of the family's 1533-position model. The record is from RNAcentral.
AGUGAACGCUGGCGGUAGGCCUAACACAUGCAAGUCGAACGGCAGCACAGUAAGAGCUUGCUCUUACGGGUGGCGAGUGGCGGACGGGUGAGGAAUACAUCGGAAUCUACUUUUUCGUGGGGGAUAACGUAGGGAAACUUACGCUAAUACCGCAUACGACCUACGGGUGAAAGCAGGGGAUCUUCGGACCUUGCGCGAUUGAAUGAGCCGAUGUCGGAUUAGCUAGUUGGCGGGGUAAAGGCCCACCAAGGCGACGAUCCGUAGCUGGUCUGAGAGGAUGUUCAGCCACACUGGAACUGAGACACGGUCCAGACUCCUACGGGAGGCAGAAGUGGGGAAUAUUGGACAAUGGGCGCAAGCCUGAUCCAGCCAUACCGCGUGGGUGAAGAAGGCCUUCGGGUUGUAAAGCCCUUUUGUUGGGAAAGAAAAGCAGCAGGUUAAUACCCCGAUGUUCUGACGGUACCCAAAGAAUAAGCACCGGCUAACUUCGUG